GAGAAAACGGAUCAAGUGGGCUAACGCAA
This 29-nucleotide non-coding RNA is filed under the name Homo sapiens (human). The record is from RNAcentral. Lineage: Eukaryota; Metazoa; Chordata; Mammalia; Primates; Hominidae.